Molecule: long non-coding RNA, 1982 nt
Organism: Neofelis nebulosa (Clouded leopard)
Lineage: Eukaryota; Metazoa; Chordata; Mammalia; Carnivora; Felidae
Exons: 5
Source: RefSeq, a predicted model, not a curated record
UGCGGCUGUUCCCUGAGCAGGGCUUUGCGCAUGCUCUCUGAAGUAAAGGUGCUGACCUUUGGGCAGGGUUACUCCCGGGUCGAGUGAGGAAGUGCAAGGUGUAGGUGGCACUCUGGCUGGCCGUGUCCUCUCAGCGUGGCACACCCACUAGCUCCACAACGUCAGGAGCUGGACUAUGGUUUUACCCCAGUGCUGGGGCGUGCACACUGCCUGCACCCAAGGAGUGUCUUGGCGGGCGUGCCCUGCUGUUGCCGACCCUGAAAGGCUGACGUCUGCUGGCCAGGACAGGCACUACGCCUACCCGGUGGCCACCACCCCAGGACAGCAACGGAGGGAUGUCUUUCCAUUAGCCUAGAAGCCUCUGCCCCAUCUCUCAGAGCACCCUGGCUAGUGGGCCAAGGAGUGAUCAGUGUCUGGAGCACAGCGGGGACUCAACCGUGUACAAAGAGUGGGAAUGCGCUGCAGACCUCCUGCCUGGGUGGUCUCAACCUCAUCCAGCUUUUAUCAAGUAUUCCCCACCUAGCAACCCAUUAAGGACUUUUCCAGCCCCAAUUUUGCCACGCAACGGUUUCUGCAAUGCCUGGAAACAUGGAACGUGUGCUUUGAGAGUCUCCCUUUAAGGCAGUAACAGGCUAACAACAGAGACUUAAGAAAUGCUUCCUAGCAAUCAAAAUGCAUUAUGUCUAAAAGCGUCCCAUCAGAGGGAAACCAGGGAGGCGCCCAGAAGUGAAAGUGCUGGAUCAUAUGGUAAUUCUAUCUUUAAUUUUGGGGGGGAAACCACCCAUACUGUUUCCAUAGCAACCUCACGCAUUCUUGUGAGGAAAUGCCACCCCUACUUAAGCCAGACACAAAGUCCCCCAGGGAAUGAGAACUGGAGCCUUCUGGAGAUGGAACACCAUCUCCGGGUGGAAAAGAAGGGCUUGUGUUUUUCGAGUUUCACCUCUUGCUUCUCUGUCUCCUAACUCCCACCCUGAACAUGAAUAGCAUCCGUAUAUUUAUGCCAAAUUUCAAACCCACCAAGGCUGGGGCAGAGAAGAACCCGGACUCCCUUGGUGGCAUUGGAGGAGGGUAGAGGCCCAGAUAGUAAGUUGGGGUGCACAGCCCUCUGUCCACGUAAUAAAGACAUCGUGUGACCCUGGGGGGAUUUGGCAUCUGUCCUGAGGACUCAUCAGAUACCCAAGGAGAAUCAGGUUUACACAUUGAAGAAAAGUUCCCUUCAACCACUAUCUCCUUCCACCCUCGCAGCCCCUACUUCGCUUGGAGAGAGGACAGCUCCUCUUGGAGCAAAGAGUAAUUUAACCGAUUCCUGCCAUUACUUGAUGCCAUCUGCAGGGGGCAGCCUGGCACAGAGGAAAGUGAGGCUUUGGACUCCCAGAGACCUGGGUUUAAAUCCUUCCUCCACUGCCUACUGUUCGUGUGACUUUGGACAAGUUCCUCAAUUUCUUUGAGACUCAUCUCAGAGUCCUCAAGACCAACGAUGACCAUGUUGACCUUUUCCCUGCUGUAAAGAUGACAUGACAUGGAGGACGUACAGUUCCAAGCCCAGCACCCAGAACCUAGGGAUUCCAUGGGUAUCCCUGCCUUCCUUCCUCUCCUGUCCUUCCUCAGUGGUUGACUUUGAUCAUGUUCUGCCAGAGUCUCCUCUCUCCAGGCUUCCGUGGCCAGUCUUCAGAGGCCGUUUCUCACCAACAGUGGCUCCAUUUUUUAUUAUUCCUGGAUGGCCUCUUGGUCCCGGAUUAGCUCAGACACAUCUCUCUGGGGCCUCCCCAUCCACCGGGUGACAGGGGCGGGGCGUGAAACCACCCCCACCAGAGCUAACCCCAAAGCCAGGCGGUGCUCUCUGCUUUGCCAUCUCCUACGGCUGCAGAUUGUGCGACGAGAGGGCGGCCGGCCCAGGUGAACACAGCCUGCCCAGGCCCGGUUUCAUUUGGCUUUUGUCAGAUUGGGUUACAAGCUUAACGUUACUUAACUGAAGAGGACUU